GACGAACCGUGCGAACGUUGUUCGGAAUCACUGGGCUUAAAGGGCGCGUAGGCGGGCUGCCAAGUCUGGGGUGAAAUCCCACGGCUCAACCGUGGAACUGCCUCGGAUACUGGCGGCCUCGAGGGAGGUAGGGGCAUGCGGAACUGUGGGUGGAGCGGUGAAAUGCGUUGAUAUCCACAGGAACUCCGGUGGCGAAGGCGGCAUGCUGGACCUUUUCUGACGCUGAGGCGCGAAAGCCAGGGGAGCAAACGGG
RNAcentral lists this ribosomal RNA (253 nucleotides) under uncultured bacterium. Its description in RNAcentral is "partial 16S ribosomal RNA". It matches the Rfam family "Bacterial small subunit ribosomal RNA", at positions 524 to 776 of the family's 1533-position model. The record is from RNAcentral.